CUUGAAAGGAACUGCAUGACAUUGCUCUUAAGCAACAAUCUUGAUGAAAUAGAUGAUGAUGAAAAGACCCAACCAGUGGACAAGGUUGAAGUUGAUCUGGCACUUUCAGCCCAUGCAAAUGCUCGGCGGUGGUAUGAAAUGAAGAAAAAACAAGAAAACAAGCAAGAGAAGACUGUAACUGCUCAUGAAAAAGCAUUCAAGG
This 202-nucleotide unclassified non-coding RNA is filed under the name Hevea brasiliensis (rubber tree). The record is from RNAcentral. Lineage: Eukaryota; Viridiplantae; Streptophyta; Magnoliopsida; Malpighiales; Euphorbiaceae.